RNAcentral lists this ribosomal RNA (402 nucleotides) under uncultured bacterium. Its description in RNAcentral is "bacterial SSU rRNA". It matches the Rfam family "Bacterial small subunit ribosomal RNA", at positions 354 to 773 of the family's 1533-position model. The record is from RNAcentral.
GUGGGGAAUAUUGGACAAUGGGGGAAACCCUGAUCCAGCGACGCCGCGUGAGUGAAGAAGUAUUUCGGUAUGUAAAGCUCUAUCAGCAGGGAAGAAAAUGACGGUACCUGACUAAGAAGCCCCGGCUAACUACGUGCCAGCAGCCGCGGUAAUACGUAGGGGGCAAGCGUUAUCCGGAUUUACUGGGUGUAAAGGGAGCGUAGACGGCACUGCAAGUCUGGAGUGAAAGCCCGGGGCUCAACGCCGGGACUGCUUUGGAAACUGUGGUGCUGGAGUGCAGGAGAGGUAAGUGGAGUUCCUAGUGGAGCGGUGAAAUGCGUAGAUAUUAGGAGGAACACCAGUGGUGAAGGCGGCUUACUGGACUGUAACUGACGUUGAGGCUCGAAAGCGUGGGGAGCAAAC